AACGGGGGGGGCUGGCGAUAUUCAUCAUGGACUGGGCGUAUAGGGAUCGUAGGUGGGUAUACUCAAUUAAAAGGUGAAAGGCUCGAGUUUACUCAUGAGUGUUCUUUAAUAUUGGGUAUAGCUUGAGUGUUGAGGAAGUUCGCGGUAUUCUUGGUGGAGAAGGUAACAUGCUGUGAUAUCGAUGAAGACUACCUGAGGCCAAAGGCGGCGUUCUACUUUUUAUACUGACACUGAGGAUCUAAAGUAUGGGCGCAAACAGG
This 260-nucleotide ribosomal RNA is filed under the name uncultured bacterium. RNAcentral describes it as "partial 16S ribosomal RNA". It matches the Rfam family "Bacterial small subunit ribosomal RNA", at positions 524 to 776 of the family's 1533-position model. The record is from RNAcentral.